Molecule: long non-coding RNA, 89 nt
Organism: Gopherus evgoodei (Goodes thornscrub tortoise)
Lineage: Eukaryota; Metazoa; Chordata; Testudines; Testudinidae
Exons: 3
Source: RefSeq, a predicted model, not a curated record
UAUGGUGCAAAAACUGGAUGCGACCUUGAGAUCUCGGCUGUCCAUGUUAUCACCGGCUGAAAGACUGCAAAACCUCCGGAAGAGACCGC